RNAcentral lists this ribosomal RNA (523 nucleotides) under uncultured bacterium. Its description in RNAcentral is "bacterial SSU rRNA". It matches the Rfam family "Bacterial small subunit ribosomal RNA", at positions 371 to 885 of the family's 1533-position model. The record is from RNAcentral.
GUUGGGGGCACCCUGAUCCAGCCAUUCCGCGUGAGUGAAGAAGGCCUUCGGGUUGUAAAGCUCUUUCGGACGGAACGAAAUGGUUACGGACAAUACCCGUGACUGAUGACGGUACUGUAAGAAGAAGCACCGGCUAACUACGUGCCAGCAGCCGCGGUAAUACGUAGGGUGCGAGCGUUAAUCGGAAUUACUGGGCGUAAAGCGUGCGCAGGCGGCGGCUCAAGUCAGGUGUGAAAUCCCCGGGCUUAACCUGGGAAUUGCGCUUGAAACUAGGCUGCUAGAGUGUGGCAGAGGGGGGUGGAAUUCCACGUGUAGCAGUGAAAUGCGUAGAGAUGUGGAGGAACACCGAUGGCGAAGGCAGCCCCCUGGGUCAACACUGACGCUCAGGCACGAAAGCGUGGGGAGCAAACAGGAUUAGAUACCCUGGUAGUCCACGCCCUAAACGAUGCGAACUAGGUGUUGGGGAAGGAGACUUCCUUAGUACCGCAGCUAACGCGUGAAGUUCGCCGCCUGGGGAGUACGG